RNAcentral lists this ribosomal RNA (254 nucleotides) under uncultured bacterium. RNAcentral's name for it is "partial 16S ribosomal RNA". It matches the Rfam family "Bacterial small subunit ribosomal RNA", at positions 524 to 776 of the family's 1533-position model. The record is from RNAcentral.
UACGGGGGGAGCAAGCGUUGUUCGGAUUUACUGGGCGUAAAGGGCGCGUAGGCGGCCACCGCAAGUCGACUGUGAAAUCUCCGGGCUUAACCCGGAAAGGUCAGCCGAUACUGCGGGGCUAGAGUGCGGAAGGGGCAACUGGAAUUCUCGGUGUAGCGGUGAAAUGCGUAGAUAUCGCUUGGAACGCCGAAGGUGAAAACAGGCUGCUGGGGUUGCGCCGACGCUGAGACACGAAAGCCAGGGGAGCAAACGGG